RNAcentral lists this non-coding RNA (28 nucleotides) under Bombyx mori (domestic silkworm). The record is from RNAcentral. Lineage: Eukaryota; Metazoa; Arthropoda; Insecta; Lepidoptera; Bombycidae.
UCGUCUAAUUGUGCACAUGACACGCGAU